RNAcentral lists this ribosomal RNA (253 nucleotides) under uncultured bacterium. RNAcentral describes it as "partial 16S ribosomal RNA". It matches the Rfam family "Bacterial small subunit ribosomal RNA", at positions 524 to 776 of the family's 1533-position model. The record is from RNAcentral.
UACAGAGGGGGCAAGCGUUGUUCGGAAUUACUGGGCGUAAAGGGCGCGUAGGCGGCCUGCUAAGUCGAACGUGAAAUCCCUGGGCUCAACCCAGGAACUGCGUCCGAUACUGGUUGGCUUGAAUCCGGGAGAGGGAUGCGGAAUUCCAGGUGUAGCGGUGAAAUGCGUAGAUAUCUGGAGGAACACCGGUGGCGAAGGCGAAUCUCUGGACAGUUACUGACACUGAGGCACGAAGGCCAGGGGAGCAAACGGG